CUUUAGAGUGAUAGCAUCUAGCAAUUUUUCGUACUAAUUCUAUUUUACAGUUGCUGUGUUACAGUCGCGGUGAACAAUUAUUAUCGGUGUAUUACUAGCGUAAUUAACGUAAACAGAGCAGGUAAAAUGUUUGUACUGGUAACGUCAAAAUGUUCUUCGACGAUCAUACGUGGAAGGAUUAUAGACUUGGAUGGGAUACUUAAAAUAUAGCACUACGUCUUAUACGAGCAGCAAACGAGUAAUUGAAUCACUCGCAAAUUAGCUGAAAUCCA
Molecule: unclassified non-coding RNA, 272 nt
Filed under: Bombus terrestris (buff-tailed bumblebee)
Lineage: Eukaryota; Metazoa; Arthropoda; Insecta; Hymenoptera; Apidae
Description: misc RNA ENSBTSG00005035765.1
Source: RNAcentral